AAAAAUAGACAAUGUAUGACGUCAGAGAAGAUGGGUCAACUGCCUGACGUCACCAUCAUAUACAUAUUUAAUCAUCUCACUUGUCAGAAUUCUCUACCCUUGUAUUGAAACUCUUCAGAGCGGCACCACUAUCUUAAGUACAGGAAGUCUUCACCGAUUUUUGGACCAAGUCUUCUACCGAGCGCUUGAAAAUGUUAAGGACGCCAUACCUGUUCUUCAUAUUUAUGGUAUCGCCAUAGCAACAGUCUCAAAGUCAAAACACACCAUUUCAGUCUUUCUAUUCCCACAAAGGUCACGUGCUUUUGGGUCACGUGAUCGCUUCCUUAARCAUGGCGGGAAUUGAUAAUUGCUUCAUGAUCUGUAAGACAAGCAGUGGUUGUAAGAGUUGGAACUACCAUUUUGAUAGUUUUUUGUGUCAACUGAAUGACAUAACUCACUGCUCAGAACCCAGAAGUUUGGUGGCACGUUUCAAUGAGUGCUAAAUACCAGCCAACCUCAGCACCCAGUAAUAUUAAUUCGGUUGCACCAUAACAAGUACACCUGCCACAGAGAUAAAGGAACCUAGAUUCGGACAGAUUUAGCUGAGAGCGGAUCGAACCUUCUAAACUAAACAAGAUGACAUCUAGAAAGCUGUACCAUGUUUAGAUGCUGAAAUUAAGUCUGGCAUUUCGACGCCCUUAACACACUCACCCAAUCACCCUAGAUUUCGAAUCUCCCCAAGAGAAACGCCAUGUAAGAGUAAYUUGAAAGACCUUAUUUUCUGUAGUUAUCAGUUCUUUAUCAAAUCUUUUUAGACUUCAGAGACGCGCCUGCAAACAGUGCAGGUAGGACUCAGUUCACUGACAGUGGCUUUGCAUCUUUUCGUUUGCCUGGAAAGAUUGUAAA
This is a long non-coding RNA of Actinia tenebrosa (Australian red waratah sea anemone), 885 nucleotides long. RefSeq lists it as uncharacterized. The record is from RefSeq and is a predicted model, not a curated record. Lineage: Eukaryota; Metazoa; Cnidaria; Anthozoa; Actiniaria; Actiniidae.